CUUCACCGACCCCAGCAGCAGCGAGCCGCGAUCGCCGCGGUCCUGGCCGUAGGUGGCCAGCAGCGCCUGGGCCUC
This 75-nucleotide antisense RNA is filed under the name Streptomyces paromomycinus. RNAcentral describes it as "ASpks TB sRNA". It matches the Rfam family "ASpks TB sRNA". The record is from RNAcentral. Lineage: Bacteria; Bacillati; Actinomycetota; Actinomycetes; Kitasatosporales; Streptomycetaceae.